UACGGAGGGUGCAAGCGUUGUCCGGAUUUAUUGGGUUUAAAGGGUGCGUAGGCGGCCUGAUAAGUCCGUGGUGAAAGCCCAUCGCUCAACGAUGGAACUGCCAUGGAUACUGUUAGGCUUGAGUACAGACGAGGUAGGCGGAAUUGAUGCUGUAGCGGUGAAAUGCAUAGAUAGCAUCAAGAACACCGAUUGCGUAGGCAGCUUACUAGGCUGUAACUGACGCUGAGGCACGAAAGCGUGGGGAGCGAACAGG
RNAcentral lists this ribosomal RNA (253 nucleotides) under uncultured bacterium. RNAcentral's name for it is "partial 16S ribosomal RNA". It matches the Rfam family "Bacterial small subunit ribosomal RNA", at positions 524 to 776 of the family's 1533-position model. The record is from RNAcentral.